GACGAACGCUGGCGGCGUGCUUAACACAUGCAAGUCGAACGGUGAAGCGCCUUCCUUUUUGGUGGGUGUGGAUGAGUGGCGAACUGGUGAGUAACACGUGAGUAACCUGCCCCCUUCUUCUGGAUAACCGCAUGACAGUGUUGCUAACACGGGAUAUUCUGGGUCUGUCGCAUGAUGGGUCUGGGACAGAUUUUGUUUCGGUGGGGGAUGGGCUCGCGGCCUAUCAGCUUGUUGGUGGGGUGAUGGCCUACCAAGGCGGUGACGGGUAGCCGGCCUGAGAGGGUGGACGGUCACACUGGGGCUGAGACACGGCCAAGACUCCUAGAGGCGGCAGCAGUGGAGAAUAUUGCACGAGGGGCGGAAGCCUGAUGCAGCGACGCCGCGGGGGGGAUGGAGGCCUUCGGGUUGUGAACCUCUUUCGCCAGUGAAGCAGGCCUGCCUCGUUUGUGGGUGGGUUGACGGUAGCUGGAUAAGAAGCGCCGGCUAACUACGUG
Molecule: ribosomal RNA, 494 nt
Filed under: uncultured bacterium
Lineage: Bacteria
Description: partial 16S ribosomal RNA
Rfam family: Bacterial small subunit ribosomal RNA
Source: RNAcentral